This 225-nucleotide unclassified non-coding RNA is filed under the name uncultured fungus. Its description in RNAcentral is "sequence contains ITS1, 5.8S rRNA gene". The stretch from base 177 to 225 matches the Rfam family "5.8S ribosomal RNA", at positions 1 to 49 of the family's 154-position model. The record is from RNAcentral. Lineage: Eukaryota; Fungi.
UCUCCGUAGGUGAACCUGCGGAGGGAUCAUUACUGAGUGAGGGCUCCGGCCCGACCUCCAACCCCAUGUGAACCGAAACCUGUUGCUUCGGGGGCGACCCUGCCGUUCGGCGCGGCGCCCCCGGAGGCUCAUCAAACACUGCAUCUCUGCGUCGGAGUAUUAGUAAAUCUAAUCAAAACUUUCAACAACGGAUCUCUUGGUUCUGGCAUCGAUGAAGAACGCAGC